AGUGAACGCUGGCGGUAGGCCUAACACAUGCAAGUCGAACGGCAGCACAGGAGAGCUUGCUCUCUGGGUGGCGAGUGGCGGACGGGUGAGGAAUACAUCGGAAUCUACUUUUUCGUGGGGGAUAACGUAGGGAAACUUACGCUAAUACCGCAUACGACCUACGGGUGAAAGCAGGGGACCUUCGGGCCUUGCGCGAUUGAAUGAGCCGAUGUCGGAUUAGCUAGUUGGCGGGGUAAAGGCCCACCAAGGCGACGAUCCGUAGCUGGUCUGAGGGGAUGAUCAGCCAAACUGGAACUGAGACACGGUCCAGACUCCUACGGGAGGCAGCAGUGGGGAAUAUUGGACAAUGGGCGCAAGCCUGAUCCAGCCAUACCGCGUGGGUGAAGAAGGCCUUCGGGUUGUAAAGCCCUUUUGUUGGGAAAGAAAUCCAGCCGGCUAAUACCUGGUUGGGAUGACGGUACCCAAAGAAUAAGCACCGGCUAACUUCGUGCCAGCCGCCGCGGUAA
This 506-nucleotide ribosomal RNA is filed under the name uncultured bacterium. Its description in RNAcentral is "partial 16S ribosomal RNA". It matches the Rfam family "Bacterial small subunit ribosomal RNA", at positions 29 to 523 of the family's 1533-position model. The record is from RNAcentral.